AUUUUGUUUCGUUUUGUGUUUCUGUUGCAUUAUUUUGCUGUUCGUUUCUUCUUCCUACCAUCUUACUGACUGUAUCUUCAGCCGAGUGUGUGCCACGAUGCCAGUGCGAGAAGCAGUCAUGGAACGGAGCAGCAGAACCUGAGCUGAGCCCUAGCCCAGCCAAGCCCAGGCUGGGCAGACAGGAGCUGAGCCAAGCAUUGCUGGCCACAGUCAACCCCAGCAGGGCAGAAAGCAGGCAGCACCACGGAGAGGAUUUUGGGAAUUGGUCCAUCAUUGUUUUUCGUUGUCUCAGGCUCAGGGAUGGGGAAUACUGGCUGCGGGGUGUCCACCACCUUGUCUUUGUCUCAAGAAUAACUGUGAGCUGCUGCCAAACAUCCCCAUCUUGUCUUUGCAUCAGCAGUCACAUGGAGCUAAACUGAGGUGUUAGUGACCACCUUUUGCAUGUAAAGAACCAUCUAUUCCAUAUGCUUUUGUUACUAAUAUUGCUGCUGGUGCUGUGCAUUUCUUAUUCCACUGCUGUUUGCUUUCACUAAAUUGUUGUCUCAACCC
Long non-coding RNA from Taeniopygia guttata (zebra finch), 549 nucleotides. RefSeq lists it as uncharacterized. NCBI's taxonomy places the organism in Eukaryota, Metazoa, Chordata, Aves, Passeriformes, Estrildidae. The record is from RefSeq and is a predicted model, not a curated record.